GUGGGGAAUUUUGGACAAUGGGCGAAAGCCUGAUCCAGCCAUGCCGCGUGCAGGAUGAAGGCCUUCGGGUUGUAAACUGCUUUUGUACGGAACGAAAAGACUCCUUCUAAUAAAGGGGGUCCAUGACGGUACCGUAAGAAUAAGCACCGGCUAACUACGUGCCAGCAGCCGCGGUAAUACGUAGGGUGCAAGCGUUAAUCGGAAUUACUGGGCGUAAAGCGUGCGCAGGCGGUUAUAUAAGACAGAUGUGAAAUCCCCGGGCUCAACCUGGGAACUGCAUUUGUGACUGUAUAGCUAUAGUACGGUAGAGGGGGAUGGAAUUCCGCGUGUAGCAGUGAAAUGCGUAGAUAUGCGGAGGAACACCGAUGGCGAAGGCAAUCCCCUGGACCUGUACUGACGCUCAUGCACGAAAGCGUGCGGAGCAAACAGGAUUAGAUACCCUAGUAGUCC
Molecule: ribosomal RNA, 450 nt
Filed under: uncultured bacterium
Lineage: Bacteria
Description: partial 16S ribosomal RNA
Rfam family: Bacterial small subunit ribosomal RNA
Source: RNAcentral